Molecule: long non-coding RNA, 686 nt
Filed under: Ficedula albicollis (Collared flycatcher)
Lineage: Eukaryota; Metazoa; Chordata; Aves; Passeriformes; Muscicapidae
Description: lncRNA (ENSFALG00000024275.1)
Source: RNAcentral
CUGUUUUGCCUAUAUAUAUAUAACAUUAGCUCCACACAAAACAUGACUCACCAGCAGCAGGUGUCCGGCUGUUAUGUUCGGCAGAUUAGUAAUGAUAGGGAGGGGGCUGCUCUCCCUAUAUGGCAUCCCAGAGGGAACCUAAAAAUAGCUCAGACUUACAGCAAAGUAAAAGUAUUUGUGGGCUUUGAACGAAGUCUGCUUCUGAAGUGGCAUGAAAAUUUUCAGAAUGACUGAGUGAUGUUUUAAGCUACUUCCCUGCAGGAUGCGGAGUCACUUAGCAUCUUCUGCAGCUGAGGCUCUGAAAUACGGGAGGACACUGCAUCUUCCUCAGGGACACGGGCAGGGGAGAGCUGGAGCCUCUGGGGGGCUCGGGAAGGAAUUGUGGUUGGUGGUCGCCUGAGGAACUUCCCUGCACCCCAAUGUUGCUCUGAAACGAGUCGUGUCCAACAGUCAGGUUUGGUAAGGUAUGUAUCUUUUUGUAUUUUUUCCUUUACUCUUGUAUAUUUGCUAUUUUCUGAAUAUGGGGAAAACAGAGCACUAGCAGCCUUUGAGGUUAUUGCUAUAUUCAUGCCAUGCUCAUACUCUGUCUGUAAAUAAGCUUUGCUCUCCCUGAAUUUAGAAAGCAUUCACCAGGAGUGAAGUGUUUUUAUUGUCUUGGGCUUGAGGGGGUGUCUGUUUAUGUGAAG